AACUUUUUUUUCCUGAGCAAAGUACCAUAUGAGCUAGGAUUCAAAAAGGUGACCUGGAAUUUUCUGGAGGCCGGACAUGGGAAGGGCCCAGCUGAUGGAAUUGGUGCGGCUGUUAAGCGCCAAGCAGACUCGCUUGUGGCCAAGGGUAUUGACCUUCCAACUGGAAAAGUAUUGUAUGAACAACUGCUUAACCAGCCAUCAACUGUCAAGUUAAUGUACAUCACUGAGGGGGAAAUUGAAGAGAUGGAUAGUCUCCUUCCUGAUGACCUGCUGACCAUCAAAGGAACCAUGCAGAUACAUCAGAUUGUCUCUACAAGACCGGAGGAGAUUUCUUGGCGAGUUCUCAGCUGCUUUUGUGCAGAUCCCCAUCCUUGCCAGUGUUUUGGUCUCAAAAAAGUCAACAUACUGGGAGCACAGAACAUGGAGACUGCAUUGGGAUCACCAAGUUCAAGCACACUUACAGCACAUCUCAACCCAUCAUAGACCUGCAUGAGGGACUGAUUGGAAGUUGGUGUGUGGUACGGUAUGAUGGGGAUCCUUACCCUGGCAUUAUACAGGAUGUGGAGUCAUAUUGGCAAAAACAAGUUCUUCUGGCCUAUGAGAGACGAUGUUAUUUGGUACCGGCCAGAAGAUGUGAUCAGGCUGGUCCCAGAGCCUCAACCAGUAACAAAGAGGCAUGUGAUGGUGGAGCCAACAGUUUGGAAAGAAAUAUGCUCUGUUCUUGACCAUGAAACAUAACUGAACCUCUGGCCCAUAUGCAAGUUUGACAGAUACAGUAUUUAGCAAAUACAAUGUCUAUUUAGUCAGAUUCAACUUGUUAUUCCACAUGAUUACGUUUGACAGUACAUGGAUUUACGAUAUAACACACAUGACAGUAAUGUUUAAGUACAGAGUGUUUGCUCUGGUUCAGCAUAGGCAUAUAAGUUUUCAAUUUCAAAAUAUAUUGCCUAUUUUAUCUGUUAUUCAACUGGUUAUAUUAAGGUUAUGUUAAGGUAAUGAUGACAUAAAGGGUUUGCUCUAGUUUGUACUAGUUUGCUCUAGUUCAGCAUGUAGGAAACAGUGAAGAAAUGAUUUGCUGAUUUUUAACACAAAUUCAUGUUUUUUCAUUUUUUGGAUUGUUUUUAAUUAAAAAUAUUGGUGAUAUGUUUUUGUUCACAAAUGCUGUUGCUUAUUGAUUUGCUCUGGUUCACCACAUAGAGCAGUAGAAAAAUUGUUUUUAAUUGGAAGUUGCCUAUCUGUCAUUUCCGCCACACACUGUCUCUUCCGCCACGCCAUGUCAUUUCCACCACAACACAUAUUUUAAAGUAAAACAUAUAAAAAACAUACAAUCAAACCAACUAUAUUCAGUGGUGUUGAUAAUUGUGCAGUUAGGGCUAAGAUUUGUGUAUACACUUUGAGAAAUAUAUGAUUUUGAGCUAUGAUAAGAAAAUGAAAUGUUCCAUUGACCUAGUUUUAGGUGUUUUUUAGUGUAAACAUUGUAAAAUCUUUACAGUUACAUUUCUGAAAAAAAUAAUAAAUUACAAAUUUGAACAGA
Coregonus clupeaformis (lake whitefish) is the source of this 1534-nucleotide long non-coding RNA. RefSeq lists it as uncharacterized. Lineage: Eukaryota; Metazoa; Chordata; Actinopteri; Salmoniformes; Salmonidae. The transcript has 2 exons. The record is from RefSeq and is a predicted model, not a curated record.